RNAcentral lists this ribosomal RNA (902 nucleotides) under Nocardiopsis exhalans. RNAcentral describes it as "bacterial SSU rRNA". It matches the Rfam family "Bacterial small subunit ribosomal RNA", at positions 1 to 894 of the family's 1533-position model. The record is from RNAcentral. Lineage: Bacteria; Bacillati; Actinomycetota; Actinomycetes; Streptosporangiales; Nocardiopsidaceae.
GGGGGGGCCGGGGGCCCGGUUUUUAGAGUUUUUGAAACAGCUCAGGACGAACGCUGGCGGCGUGCUUAACACAUGCAAGUCGAGCGGUAAGGCCCUUCGGGGUACACGAGCGGCGAACGGGUGAGUAACACGUGAGCAACCUGCCCCUGACUCCGGGAUAAGCGGUGGAAACGCCGUCUAAUACCGGAUACGACCCGCCACCUCAUGGUGGAGGGUGGAAAGUUUUUCGGUCAGGGAUGGGCUCGCGGCCUAUCAGCUUGUUGGUGGGGUAACGGCCUACCAAGGCGAUUACGGGUAGCCGGCCUGAGAGGGCGACCGGCCACACUGGGACUGAGACACGGCCCAGACUCCUGCGGGAGGCAGCAGUGGGGAAUAUUGCGCAAUGGGCGAAAGCCUGACGCAGCGACGCCGCGUGGGGGAUGACGGCCUUCGGGUUGUAAACCUCUUUUACCACCAACGCAGGCUCGAAGUUCUCUUCGGGUUGACGGUAGGUGGGGAAUAAGGACCGGCUAACUACGUGCCAGCAGCCGCGGUAAUACGUAGGGUCCGAGCGUUGUCCGGAAUUAUUGGGCGUAAAGAGCUCGUAGGCGGCGUGUCGCGUCUGCUGUGAAAGACCGGGGCUUAACUCCGGUUCUGCAGUGGAUACGGGCAUGCUAGAGGUAGGUAGGGGAGACUGGAAUUCCUGGUGUAGCGGUGAAAUGCGCAGAUAUCAGGAGGAACACCGGUGGCGAAGGCGGGUCUCUGGGCCUUACCUGACGCUGAGGAGCGAAAGCAUGGGGAGCGAACAGGAUUAGAUACCCUGGUAGUCCAUGCCGUAAACGUUGGGCGCUAGGUGUGGGGACUUUCCACGGUUUCCGCGCCGUAGCUAACGCAUUAAGCGCCCCGCUGGGAGACCCCACGGU